Molecule: ribosomal RNA, 332 nt
Filed under: uncultured bacterium
Lineage: Bacteria
Description: bacterial SSU rRNA
Rfam family: Bacterial small subunit ribosomal RNA
Source: RNAcentral
UGCGCAGGCGGUUUUGUAAGACAGAUGUGAAAUCCCCGGGCUUAACCUGGGAACUGCAUUUGUGACUGCAAGACUAGAGUACGGCAGAGGGGGGUAGAAUUCCACGUGUAGCAGUGAAAUGCGUAGAUAUGUGGAGGAAUACCGAUGGCGAAGGCAGCCCCCUGGGUCGAUACUGACGCUCAUGCACGAAAGCGUGGGGAGCAAACAGGAUUAGAUACCCUGGUAGUCCACGCCCUAAACGAUGUCAACUAGGUGUUGGGGGAGGAGACUUCCUUAGUACCGCAGCUAACGCGUGAAGUUGACCGCCUGGGGAGUACGGCCGCAAGGUUGAA